AAUGUUUGUUGACUAUAAUGAGCCUCAACAAGAAAGAGUGUAUUCCUCUUACCUUCAAUUAGACCUUGCAGAUGUCGAGCCAUGCAUUUCAGGACCAAAAAGACCUCAUGAUCGUGUGCCUUUGAAGGAGAUGAAGUCUGAUUGGCAUGCUUGCCUUGAUAACAAAGUUGGGUUUAAGGGAUUUGCAAUACCAAAAGAAGCACAGGAAAAAGUGGCGAAGUUUUCAUUUCAUGGACAGCCAGCUGAGCUUAA
RNAcentral lists this unclassified non-coding RNA (252 nucleotides) under Hevea brasiliensis (rubber tree). The record is from RNAcentral. Lineage: Eukaryota; Viridiplantae; Streptophyta; Magnoliopsida; Malpighiales; Euphorbiaceae.